Molecule: ribosomal RNA, 282 nt
Filed under: uncultured Lactobacillus sp.
Lineage: Bacteria; Bacillati; Bacillota; Bacilli; Lactobacillales; Lactobacillaceae
Description: partial 16S ribosomal RNA
Rfam family: Bacterial small subunit ribosomal RNA
Source: RNAcentral
GGUAAAGGGCUUACCAAGGCGAUGAUGCAUAGCCCGGUUGAGAGACUGAUCGGCCACAUUGGGGACUGAGACACGGCCCAAACUCCUACGGGAGGCAGCAGUAGGGAAUCUUCCACAAUGGACGCAAGUCUGAUGGAGCAAACGCCGCGUGAGUGAAGAAGGUUUUCGGAUCGUAAAGCUCUGUUGUUGGUGAAGAAGGAUAGAGGUAGUAACUGGCCCUUUAUUUGACGGUAAUCAACCAGAAAGUCACGGGCUAACUACGUGCCAGCAGCCGCGGUAAAU